Molecule: long non-coding RNA, 417 nt
Organism: Drosophila miranda
Lineage: Eukaryota; Metazoa; Arthropoda; Insecta; Diptera; Drosophilidae
Exons: 2
Source: RefSeq, a predicted model, not a curated record
CGAAAAAAAUGUGUAGAUCGUGCCGCCACGGCAGCGGCAAACAACAGCAAUUACACGGACACUGCACUGGCGCAGCUGUACGCGCACAUUCAGAGCCUUCCGGAGUCCUCCAAGAAGCGUCGCCUCAUCAAGCAGCUUAACAAGCAAAACGGACAAGGCACACCGCUGCAGGUCAUCGCGAGGAGCUCCAGCGUGCCAUAAGGGAGCAUCACGAGAAGCAUGAUGCCAAAAUGAUGCGCGCCAUGGAGGAGGCAGAGCGUAAGAAGUAGAAAUCCAUAUGGAUCACUGCACCCAGCCGUUUCGUUAUAUAACACCAUUCCGAUCAUCCUGCAGCUAUGCCAUAAAUGCGGCUAAACUGAAACUGUAAACACUUUUGUAUGCGACGUAAUAAAGACUUGAAUGUACCCAAAGCACUAA